RNAcentral lists this ribosomal RNA (253 nucleotides) under uncultured bacterium. RNAcentral's name for it is "partial 16S ribosomal RNA". It matches the Rfam family "Bacterial small subunit ribosomal RNA", at positions 524 to 776 of the family's 1533-position model. The record is from RNAcentral.
UACGGAGGUGGCAAGCGUUGCUCGGAAUCACUGGGCGUAAAGGGCGCGUAGGCGGGGAGGUAAGUCGGGUGUGAAAUCCCUCGGCCCAACCGAGGAACUGCGCCCGAGACUGCUUCUCUUGAGUCCCGGAGAGGAAGAUGGAAUUCCCGGUGUAGCGGUGAAAUGCGUAGAUAUCAAGUGGAACACCAGUGGCGAAGGCGAGUCUCUGGACAUUUCCUGACGCUGAGGCACGAAAGCCAGGGGAGCAAACGGG